Molecule: unclassified non-coding RNA, 205 nt
Filed under: Hevea brasiliensis (rubber tree)
Lineage: Eukaryota; Viridiplantae; Streptophyta; Magnoliopsida; Malpighiales; Euphorbiaceae
Source: RNAcentral
AGUGAAAAUGGUGAUUUAGAUUAGAGCUUUGUAUUUUUGAAGUGAAAAAGGGCGAUUUAGGUUUAAAAAGAAGAGAGUUUUGUGUUUUGAAGUGAAAAAAAUGGUGAUUUAAGUUUAUAAAGGGAAGAACAAAAACAUACAUUCAAUUUUAAAAGUGAAAAUAGUGAUUUAAGUUUAAAAAGGGAAGCAAAAGGGCACUAAUAUU